UGAGGGGCACAACAGCAGCACUUUGCAGGCGGUGAACUCUGGCAUCCAUAGAGCUGCAGAGCACAGGACAGGGACUGCCAGGUCCCCUGCCCCAGUGACCAACUUUCAUGUAACACCCUGGCCAGGUUUGUUUCUCCCCCACAGACCAGUCUCUGCAGGAAGUCACUUGGUUAUGUUUGCUACAGACAGGCAACCUCAACCUUCUGCUAGCUUAUAAAGAAGAGCACAGUGCUUUCUGCAGACAAGCAUUAGAAAAGCUAAAUGUAUUCUAGUGUUCAGAUUACAUAAGACAACAUUCCAGAAGGUUGUCCUGCCCCUUGACAACCCCCUCAGCCUCCCCUCCCCAGCCAAGGGUUAACAAACCAAAGUGUUUGUCACCAAGGAUCUGCUGAGCUGGCUCCUUUGUCAUAAACUCGCCAGUUCCUGAUUUUGGUUUUCCAACUAAAUAGCCAGAGUAGCACUCACCACUGAAACUGCAUUGAGUGAGCUCAUAACUUUGAAUAUGGCAACACAAAUACCCCAUGUUAGAUAAUGUGAGAGUCACAAGAAUAUUAUAUUUAGUUUAAAGAAGGAUUUUUAAGUAACAAUUGCCACUGUCAGGGAGCAUCAGUAACUGCAGGAAGAACUUGCCCACGACUUCUAUGCAAUGCUAUUCACAGUAUAAACAUGAAUUUCAGUUGGUGCUGUAACACCUUCAGGCACUAGGGAGUAGAUGCCACAAAACGGCCUUGGACUCAUUUGUGUGUUUUUAUUGGUUGAUAGCCGUCGUCUUCAUUGAGAAAAAGUACGAUUUUCUGCUCAUUUUCCUACGUAUCUUCCCCCCCCCUGCUGUAAUAAAGCACUCUCCACUAACAACCUGGUCUCCUGUGAUAAAGCACUCUCCACUAACAACCUGUGUCUACCUUGUUUUGCAUGUCUGCUGUGGACAGGAGAGUUGUGACACAGCAGAGCUAGAGCGACCACAUCACCUGUCCCACGAUUCAGCACCUGCCUGAGCCUUCUACCACAGGCAGGUGUCAGAAACAGAGCUUUUAUCCUGGAGAGGCUCUCCUGAAGAAACCAUGAUGUAAAGUGUACCAGCGACAGAGAAAUCCCAGAUCAAGCUUGGAAAGAGGUUUUCAUAAGUCAAUUAUCAUAAUUACCCCCCUUUACCUUAUUUAGAGUAUGAACUCCCCUAGCAUUAAUUUCCGGUCUUUCCUUCUUCAUUUCAAUUCUUUUCCUGUUGUCAAAUCUUGUUCUUCAUACAGAUAAUUAAAUGUGCUGAGUGCCCUAGAGCUUCUUUUCACCUAAGAAGCCAGUGUUCAGCAGAGGAGUUGAGCAGUCCUCCAGCACAUAGGAAGAAGGUCUGCUCCCACCUACAGCCUCUUUCUCCUGCCCUCAGCCAGUCCCAGCAGGUGCCGAGCUCUUCUGACAGAAAGCUUAACUCACUGCCCCAGGAGAAAUCAAAUCCACCAAAAUCAUGAAUGCUUUUCUGCUGGUUAGCGAUCCAUACUAGCAAUAAAAGGCUUCCUCAAGCACA
This 1519-nucleotide long non-coding RNA is filed under the name Cyanistes caeruleus (blue tit). RNAcentral's name for it is "lncRNA (ENSCCEG00000013705.1)". Lineage: Eukaryota; Metazoa; Chordata; Aves; Passeriformes; Paridae. The record is from RNAcentral.